This 207-nucleotide ribosomal RNA is filed under the name uncultured bacterium. RNAcentral's name for it is "partial 16S ribosomal RNA". It matches the Rfam family "Bacterial small subunit ribosomal RNA", at positions 568 to 774 of the family's 1533-position model. The record is from RNAcentral.
UGCGUAGGCGGCGCGGAAAGUUGGGUGUGAAAUCCCUCGGCUCAACCGAAGAAUUGCGCCCAAAACUUCCGUGCUCGAGGAAGAUAGAGGUGAGCGGAACUUAGGGUGGAGCGGUGAAAUGCGUUGAUAUCCUAAGGAACACCGGUGGCGAAAGCGGCUCACUGGAUCUUUUCUGACGCUGAGGCACGAAAGCUAGGGUAGCGAACG